Mytilus trossulus (common blue mussel) is the source of this 1502-nucleotide long non-coding RNA. RefSeq lists it as uncharacterized. Lineage: Eukaryota; Metazoa; Mollusca; Bivalvia; Mytilida; Mytilidae. The transcript has 3 exons. The record is from RefSeq and is a predicted model, not a curated record.
CAUAGAAUUUAUAUAUACAAUGAACUGAUCGAUUGAUAAAAUGUUAUUAUUGAACCUCUAAGUCAACACAUACAACACAUUUAAAUUUAAUAUUUAGGAAAAUGUCGGUGUUCUUUUCAAUUUGUAUGUUUUGAAUAGCUUCACAUAAACUGUCCUGUCACCAAUGCAUUCAUCUGAUUCAGAAAAAUGUGAAAUGGAAUCGACACCAAUAUUUGGAGAUGAAGCGUUCUGCAUGAUAUGUCCAUUUUGCCGCCAUGAGAUAGUAACAGCCAUGUCUUACAAUGCUGGAACUUUGUGCUGGUUUUUAUGUGGGCUAAUGAUAUUUUUGGGUUUGUGGUUGGGUUGCUGUUUGGUACCAUUCUAUGUGAACGCUGUUAAAGAUUGUGUCCAUUCGUGUCCAAAUUGUUGGCAAAUCUUGGGUCGGUACAAUCGACUCUAACCCUAUCGAUGCAGAAAUGCGAGUGACGAUAGAUCCGUCACAAUGGACAAUGAUCGAUCGAAGACAGAAUCAUGUGUAAAACAGCUUCCUCUUAUAUCUUAUAUCUUACGCUGAACCAUAUUUAUGGAAACUCUGCGCAUGGUAACUGGGAGAAAUAGGAGUAGAAAACUGAUGUUUUUCGAAAUUUUUGGAACAUGUACAAAAAAAUAACACAGUGGAGAAUGAGGUUCUCUACACUCUUAAUGAGGAUUUGGACGGGGUUUACCAAAAAAACAAAAGAAUAGCAGAUCAAACCCACAGAAAGCAGAAAAAAAACCUCAAAGAAUAGAGAAGAUAAGGCCCCAAACAAUAAAGAAUAGAAACAAAACACGGCUUUCAAGAUAUAGAAAAUAGAGAAAAACUACAUAGGAAUAAACAAAAUACAUUCUUGACGAUUCCCUAUUCUAGACACUAUCGUUUAGUUGAAAAACGUAGCCAAAAUAUUCUCUUUUUUUAUUAUAUAUAUGUCGAUGAUAAAAAAUAUAAGGGUAAAAGUUGUGUACACGUAGUAUACAUACAAUGAGUAGUGAGACUAUUUUGUGAAUUCAAUCAAUACUGAAGAUAAACUUAGAAAUAGGAAGACAUUAUCAGUGAUGGCUAAAACUUCAAAAUAAGGUUAGAAGAACAUGAAAGGAACACAAAUGGAAAAAGGAAACAAAAAAGUGAAAGAAACUUUAGGAGUUAAAUGUUACUGUUCCAAAGAAAUCAUGUCACAAGAGAACCCCAAUGUUUUGGUAUUAGGACAUCGGAUUUAAAAAAAAAUAGACAAGAGGACUGUGAACAAAUGAAUAAGGUUUUGAAGAUUUGCUGAAUGUUACAUUGAAACCCGAUUCAAAUUCGUCGAAAAACUAACUUACGAUCGGACACAAAACGUUAGUUUCGAAUAUUUGUUUUUCAGUACUGUGACUCUUUAACUUCGUAAUUAGUUUAGCACUCCAACUUUUUGUUUUGUAUCGCUAUUUGUGUGUUCUAUGUAAACACUGCGCGCGUCUACUAAGUAAUAAACCUGGUGUAUCUUAUCAUA